RNAcentral lists this ribosomal RNA (269 nucleotides) under uncultured archaeon. RNAcentral describes it as "partial 16S ribosomal RNA". It matches the Rfam family "Archaeal small subunit ribosomal RNA", at positions 477 to 747 of the family's 1478-position model. The record is from RNAcentral.
CAGCACCUCAAGUGGUCAGGAUGAUUAUUGGGCCUAAAGCAUCCGUAGCCGGCGCUGUAAGUUUUCGGUUAAAUCUGUACGCUCAACGUACAGGCUGCCGGGAAUACUGCAGCGCUAGGGAGUGGGAGAGGUAGACGGUACUCGGUAGGAAGGGGUAAAAUCCUUUGAUCUAUUGAUGACCACCUGUGGCGAAGGCGGUCUACCAGAACACGUCCGACGGUGAGGGAUGAAAGCUGGGGGAGCAAACCGGAUUAGAGACCCGGUAGUCC